This 138-nucleotide small nucleolar RNA is filed under the name Ornithorhynchus anatinus (platypus). Lineage: Eukaryota; Metazoa; Chordata; Mammalia; Monotremata; Ornithorhynchidae. The record is from RNAcentral.
CCCCUCUCAGGGACACACCUGGAGAGUUUCCAGUCCUCUACCAGCAAUGACUGCAGGAGGGAGAGUCAAACUGAGGCAUACCCAUUCCAUUCCUGGCUUGGCCAGUGGCUAGUGAGUGGAAGGCAAUCUGCUACAAAU